This 269-nucleotide unclassified non-coding RNA is filed under the name fungal sp. RNAcentral describes it as "partial internal transcribed spacer region". The stretch from base 1 to 46 matches the Rfam family "Eukaryotic small subunit ribosomal RNA", at positions 1786 to 1831 of the family's 1831-position model. The record is from RNAcentral. Lineage: Eukaryota; Fungi.
AAGUCGUAACAAGGUUUCCGUAGGUGAACCUGCGGAAGGAUCAUUACUGAAUAACUAAAUCUUUAGUUUUUCAUACCCCAUUGUUGACUCUCCCAUGUUGCUUCCACGUGGCCUGGCUUCUUUGAGCCCUUUGGCUUGCUGUGUUUAUAACACGGCUUGACAGGGAGUUGCCCGUGGUAAGACCACAAAAUUAAACUUGUAUAAUAAUACUUUGUCUGAAAUUCAUUGCAAAUGAAAUAAAACUUUCAACAACGGAUCUCUAGGCUCUU